AUUGAACGCUGGCGGCAGGCCUAACACAUGCAAGUCGAACGAGUGGCGGACGGGUGAGUAAUGUCUGGGAAACUUCCUGAUGGAGGGGGAUAACUACUGGAAACGGUAGCUACUACCGCAUACCAUCAGAUGUGCCCAGAUGGGAUUAGCUUGUUGGUGGGGUAACGGCUCACCAAGGCGACGAUCCCUAGCUGGUCUGAGAGGAUGACCAGCAACAUGGGAACUGAAACACGGUCCAGAUUCCUACGGAAGGCAGCAGUGGGGAAGAUUGCACAAUGAGCGCAAGCCGGAUGCAGCCAGGCGGCGUGUAUGAAGAGGGCCUUCGGGUUGUAAAGUACUUUCAGCGGGGAGGCGUUACCCGCAGAGGAAGCACCGGCUAACUCCGUGCCAGCAGCCGCGGUAAUUC
RNAcentral lists this ribosomal RNA (406 nucleotides) under uncultured bacterium. Its description in RNAcentral is "partial 16S ribosomal RNA". It matches the Rfam family "Bacterial small subunit ribosomal RNA", at positions 30 to 526 of the family's 1533-position model. The record is from RNAcentral.